Molecule: long non-coding RNA, 597 nt
Filed under: Homo sapiens (human)
Lineage: Eukaryota; Metazoa; Chordata; Mammalia; Primates; Hominidae
Description: HSALNT0310020
Source: RNAcentral
UUUUUUUGAGACAGGGUCUCACUCUGUCACCCAGGACGGAGGGCAGUGCCAUGAUCAUAGCUCACUGCAGCCUUGACCUUCUGGGCUCAAGCAGUCCUCCAACUUUAGCCUCCCAAGUAGCUGGAACCACAGAGUUUAAGAAAAAUAGAUUGCCUCAACACCAACAUUGCCUGUAGCUACUCCAUGAGGCAAGAUGGACCCAGACUCCACUGUGUGGACUGACCUCCCAGAAGGAUCCUCCUGUCCCUGAAGGCCACUCUGCCUUCAGCUACAGGCCCCAGUGCUGAUUGUGAUACUUAACAAGGGCUUUCAGAUGUCUGAAACAAGAGUAUAGCAUAAAGUUAAGAAUGCGGCUUCUGGAGAGACAGACUUGGUUUCAAAUUCAGCUCUGUGACCUUGGGUGCACAGCAAAGUCUUCUUCUCCCCCCGAUGAAAGAAUGGGAAGGACUCAGGAAGGCUCAACUUGCAAACUCCCCAGUAUCAAGUGGCUGCCUUCAAAAUCCAACCCUUCUCUUCCCAGCUCAUUUCCAGUAUGUAUUUUCAAAGGCCAUGUCAUUUUUGAAGCCUCCUCUCCCGUUUACUCAAGACACACUGAAU